RNAcentral lists this ribosomal RNA (253 nucleotides) under uncultured bacterium. Its description in RNAcentral is "partial 16S ribosomal RNA". It matches the Rfam family "Bacterial small subunit ribosomal RNA", at positions 524 to 776 of the family's 1533-position model. The record is from RNAcentral.
UACAGAGACUGCAAGCGUUAUUCGGAGUCACUGGGCGUAAAGGGUGCGCAGGUGGUCUUGUGUGUCAGGUGUGAAAUCCCGGAGCUUAACUCCGGAACUGCGCCUGAAACUGCAAGACUAGAGCAUUGGAGAGGGAAGUGGAAUUCAUGGUGUAGCAGUGAAAUGCGUAGAUAUCAUGAGGAACACCAGAGGCGAAGGCGACUUCCUGGACAAUUGCUGACACUCAGGCACGAAAGCAUGGGGAGCAAAAGGU